This 439-nucleotide unclassified non-coding RNA is filed under the name Ochroma pyramidale (balsa). RNAcentral's name for it is "partial external transcribed spacer". The record is from RNAcentral. Lineage: Eukaryota; Viridiplantae; Streptophyta; Magnoliopsida; Malvales; Malvaceae.
UGUGAGUGGUGUUUGGGUUGUGUGUGUUGGCAGGCUCCGUGCUAUGAUGCAUCGAACUGUCGACCCAUACUCCUCUUCAGUUUCUCCCCCUGCGGUCGUUCUGUCCUAGGGGUGUAAUCGGGAUCCUGUGUUGCGUACCUAAAUCGAUGGAAUUUGGAUGUCUAGCCAUCCCUCGUCCGUCUCGUGCCCUUAAGGGCGACGUGGCGGACCUCAGUCAUGCCCUGUGUUCCAAGCGUGCCCGCAGAUUUGCUGUGGCAGUGUUGGUGCUCUGGUGCUUGAUCGUGCUUUCGGAUGCGGAAAGUUUCGUGGGCGUGGGGUCUCGGCCUUCUUCGUCCGAUGCUAUGCAUUUUGUCCCUUGACAUGCACGACACCUGUGCCCUGUCUUGGCCUCUCCGCUGCCCAGGCGGUGUGUUGAGUCCCAUGCAGUGCCGAUGUCGCG